CCUACGGGUUGCACCAGUGAGGAAUUUUGCGCAAUGGGCGAAAGCCUGACGCAGCAACGCCGCGUGGGUGAUGAAGGCCUUUGGGUCGUAAAGCCCUGUCAAGUGGGAAGAAUCCGCAUGAUGUGAACAAUAUCGUGCGUUGACGGUACCACUGAAGGAAGCACCGGCUAACUCCGUGCCAGCAGCCGCGGUAAUACGGGGGGUGCAAGCGUUAUUCGGAAUUAUUGGGCGUAAAGGGCGCGUAGGCGGCCGUUUAAGUCAGAUGUGAAAGCCCGGGGCUCAACCUCGGAAGUGCAUUUGA
Molecule: ribosomal RNA, 301 nt
Filed under: uncultured bacterium
Lineage: Bacteria
Description: bacterial SSU rRNA
Rfam family: Bacterial small subunit ribosomal RNA
Source: RNAcentral